This 469-nucleotide ribosomal RNA is filed under the name Aporia potanini. RNAcentral's name for it is "partial 16S ribosomal RNA". The stretch from base 1 to 121 matches the Rfam family "Archaeal large subunit ribosomal RNA", at positions 1942 to 2096 of the family's 2987-position model. Lineage: Eukaryota; Metazoa; Arthropoda; Insecta; Lepidoptera; Pieridae. The record is from RNAcentral.
AAGUCUAAUCUGCCCACUGAAAUUUUUAAAGGGCUGCAGUAUAUUGACUGUACAAAGGUAGCAUAAUAAUUAGUCUUUUAAUUGAAGACUUGUAUGAAUGAUUUAAUGAGAUAUAAACUGUUUCUUUAUUAAUGAUAGAAUUUAAUUUUUUAGUUAAAAAGCUAAGAUUUUUUUAAAAGACGAGAAGACCCUAUAGAGUUUAAUUUUUUAAUUUUUAUAAUUAUUUUAUAAAAUUUAUAAUUUAUAAAAAUUAAAAAAUUUUGUUGGGGUGAUGGAAAAAUUUAAUUAACUUUUUUUAAAAAUUUAACAUUAAUAUAUGAUUUUUUGAUCCAUAAUUUAUGAUUAAAAGAAUAAAUUACCUUAGGGAUAACAGCGUAAUUUUUUUUUUUAGUUCGAAUAAAAAUUAAAGUUUGCGACCUCGAUGUUGGAUUAAGAUAAAAUUUAAAUGCAAAAGUUUAAAAUUUUGAUC